This 1244-nucleotide ribosomal RNA is filed under the name Candidatus Phytoplasma solani. Its description in RNAcentral is "bacterial SSU rRNA". It matches the Rfam family "Bacterial small subunit ribosomal RNA", at positions 153 to 1399 of the family's 1533-position model. The record is from RNAcentral. Lineage: Bacteria; Bacillati; Mycoplasmatota; Mollicutes; Acholeplasmatales; Acholeplasmataceae.
GAAACGACUGCUAAGACUGGAUAGGAGAUAAGAAGGCAUCUUCUUAUUUUUAAAAGACCUAGCAAUAGGUAUGCUUAGGGAAGAGCUUGCGUCACAUUAGUUAGUUGGUGGGGUAAUGGCCUACCAAGACGAUGAUGUGUAGCCGGGCUGAGAGGUCGAACGGCCACAUUGGGACUGAGACACGGCCCAAACUCCUAUGGGAGGCAGCAGUAAGGAAUUUUCGGCAAUGGAGGAAACUCUGACCGAGCAAUGCCGCGUGAACGAUGAAGUAUUUCGGUACGUAAAGUUCUUUUAUUAGGGAAGAAAAGAUGGUGGAAAAACCAUUAUGACGGUACCUAAUGAAUAAGCCCCGGCUAACUAUGUGCCAGCAGCCGCGGUAAUACAUAGGGGGCAAGCGUUAUCCGGAAUUAUUGGGCGUAAAGGGUGCGUAGGCGGUUAAAUAAGUUUAUGGUCUAAGUGCAACGCUCAACGUUGUGAUGCUAUAAAAACUGUUUAGCUAGAGUUGGAUAGAGGCAAGUGGAAUUCCGUGUGUAGUGGUAAAAUGCGUAAAUAUACGGAGGAACACCAGAAGCGAAGGCGGCUUGCUGGGUCUUAACUGACGCUGAGGCACGAAAGCGUGGGGAGCAAACAGGAUUAGAUACCCUGGUAGUCCACGCCCUAAACGAUGAGUACUAAACGUUGGAUAAAACCAGUGUUGAAGUUAACACAUUAAGUACUCCGCCUGAGUAGUACGUACGCAAGUAUGAAACUUAAAGGAAUUGACGGGACUCCGCACAAGCGGUGGAUCAUGUUGUUUAAUUCGAAGGUACCCGAAAAACCUCACCAGGUCUCGACAUGCUUUUGCAAAGCUGUAGAAAUACAGUGGAGGUUAUCAGAAGCACAGGUGGUGCAUGGUUGUCGUCAGCUCGUGUCGUGAGAUGUUGGGUUAAGUCCCGCAACGAGCGCAACCCUUGUUGUUAAUUGCCAUCAUUAAGUUGGGGACUUUAGCAAGACUGCCAAUGAUAAAUUGGAGGAAGGUGGGGACGACGUCAAAUCAUCAUGCCCCUUAUGACCUGGGCUACAAACGUGAUACAAUGGCUGUUACAAAGGGUAGCUAAAGUGUAAGCUUCUGGCGAAUCUCAAAAAAGCAGUCUCAGUUCGGAUUGAAGUCUGCAACUCGACUUCAUGAAGUUGGAAUCGCUAGUAAUCGCGAAUCAGCAUGUCGCGGUGAAUACGUUCACGGGGUUUGUACACACCGCCCGUCA